AGCCGAUAAAGGUAAACUCCGGGAAACCCGAGGGCACAAAACUACAGACCUGAAGUCGUUUAAGACCGGGAAGGCCCACUGAAGUUAUGGGGCAAAUAAAGAUAAUGAGCGCGGUUGACGGGCGAUAUGGUGGCUGAGUUGCCGAA
RNAcentral lists this non-coding RNA (146 nucleotides) under Candidatus Omnitrophota bacterium. RNAcentral describes it as "Omnitrophica WOR c-di-GMP sequence". It matches the Rfam family "c-di-GMP-I riboswitch aptamer". Rfam says of the family: GEMM was predicted in a large-scale screen for bacterial structured RNA regulatory elements. Genes associated with GEMM are involved in a diverse array of functions, including chemotaxis regulation, signal transduction, secretion and chitin. The record is from RNAcentral. Lineage: Bacteria; Pseudomonadati; Candidatus Omnitrophota.